RNAcentral lists this ribosomal RNA (253 nucleotides) under uncultured bacterium. Its description in RNAcentral is "partial 16S ribosomal RNA". It matches the Rfam family "Bacterial small subunit ribosomal RNA", at positions 524 to 776 of the family's 1533-position model. The record is from RNAcentral.
UACAGAGGUCCCAAGCGUUGUUCGGAUUCACUGGGCGUAAAGGGUGCGUAGGCGGUUGGAUAAGUCUGAUGUGAAAUCUUCGAGCUCAACUCGGAAACUGCAUCGGAAACUAUUCGGCUAGAGGAUUGGAGGGGAGACUGGAAUUCUCGGUGUAGCAGUGAAAUGCGUAGAUAUCGAGAGGAACACCAGUGGCGAAGGCGAGUCUCUGGACAAUUCCUGACGCUGAGGCACGAAAGCUAGGGGAGCAAACAGG